GCUCUUGUAGUUUAAUUAAAAUUUUAAUUUUGUAAAUUAAAGAUGUAUCCCAAGGGCA
This 58-nucleotide transfer RNA is filed under the name Proasellus arthrodilus. RNAcentral describes it as "transfert RNA-T(ACA)". The record is from RNAcentral. Lineage: Eukaryota; Metazoa; Arthropoda; Malacostraca; Isopoda; Asellidae.